Talpa occidentalis (Iberian mole) is the source of this 485-nucleotide long non-coding RNA. RefSeq lists it as uncharacterized. The transcript is spliced from 3 exons. NCBI's taxonomy places the organism in Eukaryota, Metazoa, Chordata, Mammalia, Eulipotyphla, Talpidae. The record is from RefSeq and is a predicted model, not a curated record.
UUCUAUGAACUGGUAUGGCCUUGAAAUAACAGUUAUUUGUAAACUGUUUUUGUUGAUUUCAAAUCAAUAUGCUGAGAAUUACUUUUAUAAAGCCUAGCUUUCUAGAAAGCUUUCAUGUUGAAAUCUUCUGAAACUUAAAGAAUAUAACAUCUUAUGAAGAAAAUCUCACAACAAAUGAACAAAUAAAGGAUUGUUGGAAUCAAAUGAACUAGAAAAGCUGGAAAAAAGUUUGGAAAAAAUCAGUUAACUAUGCGUAUUGCAGCACUAUUUACAGUUGGGAAGAUUUAUUGACUAUUCCAUGUUUCCAUAGCCUGAAGUUCUGCUUCAAAUAUAAUUUAAUAGUUUAACUCUACUAAGAAAGAUAAAAUGAUAGUGAGACAUGUUUUGCCUAAAAAAUUAACAAGAAAUGAAAACUUGUGAAUACUGAAUGCUGGCGAGAACUCAGGAAUAUAGAUAUUCCCAUGUGUUUCCUAUUAAAAUGUAGU